RNAcentral lists this ribosomal RNA (253 nucleotides) under uncultured bacterium. Its description in RNAcentral is "partial 16S ribosomal RNA". It matches the Rfam family "Bacterial small subunit ribosomal RNA", at positions 524 to 776 of the family's 1533-position model. The record is from RNAcentral.
UACAGAGGUCUCAAGCGUUGUUCGGAUUCAUUGGGCGUAAAGGGUGCGUAGGUGGCGGGGUAAGUCAGGUGUGAAAUCUCGAGGCUCAACCUCGAAACUGCACUUGAUACUGCCUUGCUCGAGUACUGGAGAGGAGAUUGGAAUUUACGGUGUAGCAGUGAAAUGCGUAGAUAUCGUAAGGAAGACCAGUGGCGAAGGCGAAUCUCUGGGCCGAUACUGACGCUGAGGAGCGAAAGCUAGGGGAGCAAACAGG